GUCUAUGGCCAUGCCACUCUGAACAAGCCGGAUCCCCUCUGAUCCGAAGCUAAGCAGGGUUGGGCCUGGUUAGUACUUGGAUGGGAGACCACCUAGGAAGAUCAGGUACUGCAGGUG
This 117-nucleotide ribosomal RNA is filed under the name Pteropus alecto (black flying fox). The record is from RNAcentral. Lineage: Eukaryota; Metazoa; Chordata; Mammalia; Chiroptera; Pteropodidae.